RNAcentral lists this transfer RNA (87 nucleotides) under Chlorogloeopsis fritschii PCC 6912. Its description in RNAcentral is "tRNA-Ser". It matches the Rfam family "tRNA". From Rfam's summary of the family: Transfer RNA (tRNA) molecules are approximately 80 nucleotides in length. Their secondary structure includes four short double-helical elements and three loops (D, anti-codon, and T loops). Further hydrogen bonds mediate the characteristic L-shaped molecular structure. tRNAs have two regions of fundamental functional importance: the anti-codon, which is responsible for specific mRNA codon recognition, and the 3' end, to which the tRNAs corresponding amino acid is attached (by aminoacyl-tRNA synthetases). tRNAs cope with the degeneracy of the genetic code in two manners: having more than one tRNA (with a specific anti-codon) for a particular amino acid; and 'wobble' base-pairing, i.e. permitting non-standard base-pairing at the 3rd anti-codon position. The record is from RNAcentral. RNAcentral also lists the same sequence under 1 other name. Lineage: Bacteria; Bacillati; Cyanobacteriota; Cyanophyceae; Nostocales; Chlorogloeopsidaceae.
UGGAGAGGUGGCAGAGUGGUCGAAUGCGCUCGACUUGAAAUCGAGUGAUGUGAAAGCAUCCGUGGGUUCGAAUCCCACCCUCUCCGU